AAGGAUUCCCCUAGUAACUGCGAGUGAAGCGGGAAAAGCUCAAAUUUAAAAUCUGGCGGUCUCAGACUGUCCGAGUUGUAAUCUAGAGAAGUGUUAUCCGCGCUGGACCGUGUACAAGUCUCCUGGAAUGGAGCGUCAUAGAGGGUGAGAAUCCCGUCUUUGACACGGACUGCCAGGGCUUUGUGAUGCGCUCUCAAAGAGUCGAGUUGUUUGGGAAUGCAGCUCAAAAUGGGUGGUAAAUUCCAUCUAAAGCUAAAUAUUGGCGAGAGACCGAUAGCGAACAAGUACCGUGAGGGAAAGAUGAAAAGAACUUUGGAAAGAGAGUUAAACAGUACGUGAAAUUGCUGAAAGGGAAACGCUUGAAGUCAGUCGCGUUGGCCAGGGAUCAACCUUGCUCUUGCUGGGUGUACUUUCUGGUUAACGGGUCAACAUCAAUUUUGAUUGUUGGAAAAAGAUCAAGGGAAUGUGGCAUCUUCGGAUGUGUUAUAGCCUUUGGUUGUAUACAACAAUUGGGAUUGAGGAACUCAGCACGCCGAAAGGCCGGGUUUUUAACCACGUUCGUGCUUAGGAUGUUGGCAUAAUGGCUUUAAUCGACCCGUCUUGAAACACGGACCAAGGAGUCUAACAUGCCUGCGAGUGUUUGGGUGGAAAACCCGAGCGCGUAAUGAAAGUGAAAGUUGAGAUCCCUGUCGUGGGGAGCAUCGACGCCCGGACCAGAAAUUUAUGGACGGUUCCGCGGUAGAGCAUGUAUGUUGGGACCCGAAAGAUGGUGAACUAUGCCUGAAUAGGGUGAAGCCAGAGGAAACUCUGGUGGAGGCUCGUAGCGAUUCUGACGUGCAAAUCGAUCGUCAAAUUUGGGUAUAGGGGCGAAAGACUAAUCG
This 881-nucleotide ribosomal RNA is filed under the name Cystoderma granosum. RNAcentral describes it as "partial large subunit ribosomal RNA". It matches the Rfam family "Eukaryotic large subunit ribosomal RNA", at positions 70 to 937 of the family's 3401-position model. Lineage: Eukaryota; Fungi; Basidiomycota; Agaricomycetes; Agaricales; Squamanitaceae. The record is from RNAcentral.